CAUUCUGACUCCCAGCCCUGGAGCAACACAUCAGAAGGCUUUCAAGGCUAUGGGGCUUCUAGAGCCAGAAUUCUCAGGUCAUUGUCCUCAGUACCAGCACUGUAGGGCUCCACCUGCUUGCAGCUUGGGGAAGAAGAAAGGCUGGCUGCCCAGAGCCACAGCCUAGCUUGGGUGGGAGGAAGAUAGAGGAGCUGUCUCCUCUUCUCACUCUUCUUGUCCAGGUGGAUGAGAUGGAAACCAUCUCACAUGGAGAAAUGUUAAGGGAGAAGACUCUUCAUUGUAUGCAAUGGGCAUGCAGCCUGCUACAGCACAGAAUCUACCAGGUUCAUGGAAUCUCAAUGUUUAACAGAACUUGAAAAUUCCUCCAACUGCAGAAAUUCCUUUCAAGCACCUCUGAUUGAUGCCCCAUAGCCUUGGGUUUAACAUGCAGGAAGAUGGGUGCCACCCACCCUCUGCCUUCUCACCAGACAGCCUAUUCCAUUUAUUGAAUAGUUCUAAUCAUUAAAACAUUCUUCUUUAUUUUGCAUCAAUGUCUCCCUCCUGAUAACUUCCACCAAUUAAUCCUAGUUUGAUCUCCUGUAAUUAAUCCAUUCCGUUUUUCACGUGAUAGUAUUUUGAAUUUAUGAAGGCAGCUAAAAGUUCCUCUGGAGUCUUCUUGAUCCUUCAGCAUCCUCCGGUUAUUUUUCCAUUAUUUCUAUUCAGAUAUUCCUCAAGGAGAAAAAACAUACCAAAAGGUCCUAGAUUGUCUCCAGCCUAAAUUAGGCUCAUGUACGGUUUCCUCUUGUUCCAUUACUGUGUUCCAGUCCAAAUGUUUGGGUAACUACCGGUACUAUAUAUUCUGCUGAGAGCUGGGAAGAAUUAAGAAAAUAAGAUGUGGUCUCUGCUCUUGGUUGUAUAACAGGAGCAUUAACAACUAAAUGGGA
This 923-nucleotide long non-coding RNA is filed under the name Callithrix jacchus (white-tufted-ear marmoset). Its description in RNAcentral is "lncRNA (ENSCJAG00000071629.1)". The record is from RNAcentral. Lineage: Eukaryota; Metazoa; Chordata; Mammalia; Primates; Cebidae.